AUUGAACGCUGGCGGCAGGCCUAACCCAUGCAAGUCGUGCGAGCGGCGGACGGGUGAGUAAUGGAUGGGGAUCUGCCUGAUGGAGGGGGAUAACUGCUGGAAACGGUAGCUAAUACAGGAUACCAUCAGAUGACCCAAUAUGGUAUUAGCUUGUAGGUGAGGUAACGCCUCACCUAGGCGCCGAUCCCGAGCUGGUCUGAGAGGGUGAUUAGCCACACUGGGACUGAGACACGGCCCAGACUCCUCCGGGAGGCAGCGUUGGGGAAUAUUGCACAAUGGGCGUAAGCCUGAUGCAGCCAUGCCGCGUGUAUGAAGAAGGCCGUCGGGUUGUAUAGUACUUUCAGUCGGGAGGCGUUACCGACAGAAGAAGCACCGGGUAACUCCGUGCCAGCAGCCGCGGUAAUAC
Molecule: ribosomal RNA, 406 nt
Filed under: uncultured bacterium
Lineage: Bacteria
Description: partial 16S ribosomal RNA
Rfam family: Bacterial small subunit ribosomal RNA
Source: RNAcentral